RNAcentral lists this ribosomal RNA (878 nucleotides) under Aspergillus oryzae. RNAcentral's name for it is "partial small subunit ribosomal RNA". It matches the Rfam family "Eukaryotic small subunit ribosomal RNA", at positions 573 to 1480 of the family's 1831-position model. Lineage: Eukaryota; Fungi; Ascomycota; Eurotiomycetes; Eurotiales; Aspergillaceae. The record is from RNAcentral.
CCCGCCCGUAAUCCAGCUCCAAUAGCGUAUAUUAAAGUUGUUGCAGUUAAAAAGCUCGUAGUUGAACCUUGGGUCUGGCUGGCCGGUCCGCCUCACCGCGAGUACUGGUCCGGCUGGACCUUUCCUUCUGGGGAACCUCAUGGCCUUCACUGGCUGUGGGGGGAACCAGGACUUUUACUGUGAAAAAAUUAGAGUGUUCAAAGCAGGCCUUUGCUCGAAUACAUUAGCAUGGAAUAAUAGAAUAGGACGUGCGGUUCUAUUUUGUUGGUUUCUAGGACCGCCGUAAUGAUUAAUAGGGAUAGUCGGGGGCGUCAGUAUUCAGCUGUCAGAGGUGAAAUUCUUGGAUUUGCUGAAGACUAACUACUGCGAAAGCAUUCGCCAAGGAUGUUUUCAUUAAUCAGGGAACGAAAGUUAGGGGAUCGAAGACGAUCAGAUACCGUCGUAGUCUUAACCAUAAACUAUGCCGACUAGGGAUCGGGCGGUGUUUCUAUGAUGACCCGCUCGGCACCUUACGAGAAAUCAAAGUUUUUGGGUUCUGGGGGGAGUAUGGUCGCAAGGCUGAAACUUAAAGAAAUUGACGGAAGGGCACCACAAGGCGUGGAGCCUGCGGCUUAAUUUGACUCAACACGGGGAAACUCACCAGGUCCAGACAAAAUAAGGAUUGACAGAUUGAGAGCUCUUUCUUGAUCUUUUGGAUGGUGGUGCAUGGCCGUUCUUAGUUGGUGGAGUGAUUUGUCUGCUUAAUUGCGAUAACGAACGAGACCUCGGCCCUUAAAUAGCCCGGUCCGCGUUUGCGGGCCGCUGGCUUCUUAGGGGGACUAUCGGCUCAAGCCGAUGGAAGUGCGCGGAAUAACAGCGAGGGCCCCCCCCAAAAAAAA